GUGUCAGCAGCCGCGGUAAUACGAAGGGUGCAAGCGUUAUCCGGAUUCAUUGGGUUUAAAGGGUGCGUAGGCGGGGUGGUAAGUCAGUGGUGAAAUCCUGCAGCUUAACUGUAGAAUUGCCAUUGAUACUGCCAUUCUUGAGUACGCUGGAUGUGGGCGGAAUGUGCCGUGUAGCGGUGAAAUGCUUAGAUAUGGCACAGAACACCGAUAGCGAAGGCAGCUCACAACGGCGAAACUGACGCUGAGGCACGAAAGCGUGGGGAUCGAACAGGAUUAGAUACCCCCGUAGUCC
RNAcentral lists this ribosomal RNA (292 nucleotides) under uncultured bacterium. Its description in RNAcentral is "partial 16S ribosomal RNA". It matches the Rfam family "Bacterial small subunit ribosomal RNA", at positions 505 to 796 of the family's 1533-position model. The record is from RNAcentral.